CCUACGGGCUGCUGCAGUGGGGAAUAUUGGACAAUGGGCGAAAGCCUGAUCCAGCCAUGCCGCGUGUGUGAAGAAGGCCUUCGGGUUGUAAAGCACUUUCAGUGGGGAAGAAAGCCUUGGGGCUAAUACCCUCGAGGAAGGACAUCACCCACAGAAUAAGCACCGGCUAACUCCGUGCCAGCAGCCGCGGUAAUACGGAGGGUGCGAGCGUUAAUCGGAAUUACUGGGCGUAAAGCGCGCGUAGGCGGUCUGAUAAGCCGGUUGUGAAAGCCCCGGGCUCAACCUGGGAACGGCAUCCGGAACUGUCAGGAUAGAGUGCAGGAGAGGAAGGUAGAAUUCCCGGUGUAGCGGUGAAAUGCGUAGAGAUCGGGAGGAAUACCAGUGGCGAAGGCGGCCUUCUGGACUGACACUGACGCUGAGGUGCGAAAGCGUGGGUAGCAAACAGGAUUAGAUACCCGGGUAGUC
Molecule: ribosomal RNA, 465 nt
Filed under: Vreelandella stevensii
Lineage: Bacteria; Pseudomonadati; Pseudomonadota; Gammaproteobacteria; Oceanospirillales; Halomonadaceae
Description: partial 16S ribosomal RNA
Rfam family: Bacterial small subunit ribosomal RNA
Source: RNAcentral